UUAUGAUUGAAGUUAUUUGUUGAAUAAUUAUUAUGAUGAUGUAUGAUCACAAAGAAUGACAUGGUUGAUUUGACUCAAAUAUCAUUUAUUUAUAUUAUUUUGAAAAUAAUAUAUGAAUUGGAAGAUAAUAUGAAAUUGACAAUCUGACUGUGUUGAGGACCCCGCCAAUGGGGGCAUAUACAUUGGCAAUUGACUGUCCUGAGGAUUUAUGUCGCCAAUGAGACCAGCGACAUGUCGCCAGAUAGACCAGCGACAAAACUGCCAGCGAGACCAACGGUUCCAAAGGACUUGGCUGCCAGAUGAUUCGCAGCCCACCGCAAGCAGAUACGCGGUAUUAUGACCCUGCCACAGGGAUAAUGUGGUCAUAGUCAUGAUUGGUAAGAAGAACUUAAGAAAUUGAUGAAUUUAAGAUGAAAAGCAUAAUUGAAAAUUAU
RNAcentral lists this long non-coding RNA (434 nucleotides) under Elaeis guineensis (African oil palm). Its description in RNAcentral is "long non-coding RNA (EGUI_LNC021987)". The record is from RNAcentral. Lineage: Eukaryota; Viridiplantae; Streptophyta; Magnoliopsida; Arecales; Arecaceae.